Molecule: long non-coding RNA, 911 nt
Organism: Scophthalmus maximus (turbot)
Lineage: Eukaryota; Metazoa; Chordata; Actinopteri; Pleuronectiformes; Scophthalmidae
Exons: 2
Source: RefSeq, a predicted model, not a curated record
GGAAACUUCCUGAGAAAAACAGACGACUCCCUCACAGACCGGGUCCACAUCCAGAGACGGAGACCAGGGUUCAGGUCCUGAGAAAAACAGACUGUACCACCACCGACAGAGAGGGGAGGGGUCUGAUGUCACCGAGGGUUGGAAAAUUAUGACGUAAACCUUCGGCAUGUAGAGCAUCCCAAGAGAGACGGACGCACUGAGAGACAUGGACACGGUCAGAGUCAUCGUCUGGAUAAACAUCUGGAGAGACAGAGACAAUAUAAACAUCUGGAGAGACCAUAUUGACACAGCGGCCAUUUUCCUGUGACGUCACAUUGAGGGUGUGAAGCUGAAACGCCGUUAUGGGCAGAAUAAUGUCGCCCUGCUGUGAUCCAGGUUUAUAAGUCGUAUUUCACUGCUUCCUGUCUGAUCAGCUACUGAAGAGACUAUGGACAUCAGACCAUAUUUGAUAAGGAUGCUAAGGGAUUUGCUAAGGCCUUUUUUUUUAUAAACUAACAUCUGUGAAACUUGUGAGAGGAUGUCACAGAGACAUGAGAGGUGGUUUGAUGUCAAUAAAUUCAUAAAUGAGGGAGCGAUUGUAAAUUCACGUGGAGCUAAUGGAGAAAACUGACGAAAAAUGAAUGAAAAUGACAUCACCCCGGAAUAUCUAGCUGGUAUAGUUUUUACCUCCCGCAACAGCUUGGUGACAUCUUACCUUCUCGGUGGACUGGGCAGUACCAAAGAAAAUGGGUACGAAGGCGAGCCAAACGAUACAGGUGGUGUACAUCGUGAAACCGAUCGGCUUUGCCUCAUUAAACGUCUCUGGGACACCUCGACUCUUCACUGCAUACACGGUACAUGUCACCUGGCAACAGAAAUGCAACAUGUUACCAUGCCACAAGAAUAAAAGAGGUUACUUAGCAACAUGGCCA